This 17546-nucleotide long non-coding RNA is filed under the name Nicotiana tabacum (common tobacco). Its description in RNAcentral is "long non-coding RNA (NTAB_LNC001645)". Lineage: Eukaryota; Viridiplantae; Streptophyta; Magnoliopsida; Solanales; Solanaceae. The record is from RNAcentral.
AUUAAUCCCCACACUCCAUAUAUACAACUUUCCACAAACCCUAACCCUAACACCCCUAACCAAACAGCGCCCCCUGUCUCCAAGCCUUCUGUCGCGCCCUAGCCAUGCCAAACCCGCCGGAAAUCCCCCCCAAAUCACAUGGUCCCCUCCUCUCUCUUCCCCCUGCCACGUGGCCUGACAGGUAACAGAUUUCGUAAAAUUGAAUCUUCCUCAUUCUCCCUCAUGCGCUCAUCUCACCUGAAAAUCAAUUUGAAGAUGAGAUUAGGAUGAAUGGGAGGCAUAGGAUUGAGCCUCACUCAAUCUACUCCCUCCAUUUGUCCUUUACUUGUGACUAAAGAUGGAUUUUCGGAUUUUUUAGAAAGAGGAAAAAUUUUCACGACUUGGAGGGGAAGUCUAGAAGUUUCUGGAGCUUAUAUAUAUUGGGGGUUCGUUUCUUUAGGGGUGGGCGAUUGGAAAAAUUUAGGAAUUCUUCAGUUUUUUUUGGACAAAAAUUUUGAGAAAAAAAAAUCGGACAGAAAGGAGAAAAAGAAAAGUUCUAGGGUUUUUGAUUUUUUAUUUUUCUGAAUUUUGGUUUUAGUUUUCCAUAUAUACAAGAAAAAUCAGUUUCUUCUUCUGGAUUUUUGUUCAAAAUGGAGUAAAGACAAUUGGGUGUUCGAAAUUUUUGGAGUCACCGUUUGUGGUUCUGGUCGUGGCUUGUUGUCUCUGUUUGAAGAUCUUGUUGAAUUCCUCUAUUCUGGACUCACUCAGUUUUGCUCGAUUUAGUGCUGUAAUUGCUGAAUUUUGUUCAUUGGAAAGCUAAUCUCAGGUUAUUCUUAAUCUCACUGCUUUAUUUUGGUAUGAUUGGAGUUUGAUUGAUUUCGAAAUGUGCCGGAUUCUCUAUUUUUAUGUUGUUACUCUUUUAACUUUUUAUUAGUUGGUUGUUGUAUGUAUGAUUGAGGAAUACGUAUUAGAGUGUGAGUUAGUUUAAUGGAGCUAAAAGUAUAUGUGUUCCCUUUCUUUUGACUUCAAUCAUGGAGUGUAUGUGAGAGGGAUUCAAUAGCUUGCUGCUAAAGAAAUCUAUUCACUGCUUUGGUAAUUUAUCUCACCACUGUUUAGAACCAUGACUUAGUAAUUUUGACAUUAUCCUUGUAUAGUUGGAGUACUUUAUUAAGGUGAAAUAAUAUGUUCUUAAUAUUUCAAUAAUAACGUCUGGAAGCAUGAGUAAGUCUUUAAAUGAAAUGAAAGUUUUUCUUUGUUUAAUUCAAGUUUUCAUGUCAGGUCCUUGUUAGUCUAUCGAGAUUUGAGAGUCUAUGUUUAAGGCGUCUGUCUAUUAUAUCUAUAUGUUAGUUUUAUUGAAUUUUUUAGAGCUCAUGAAAGCAUGUUUCAAUCUCUGCUGAAGGCUACAUUUGAUUUCAAAAUUUUCCUUGAAUAUUAAGAAGAUUACUGCAAUUUUGUUAAAAUUGUUUGGUGUACUUUGGAAUGUCUACAUUGAGCUAUGUGGUGGUUGGUUUAAGAUGAGUGAGCCUGCUAAAUCAUGUGUUUAGUGUUCAUGCUUAGUUUUGGGAUUUAAUAUGGUGAAAAGUGGAUGUUCCGACAGCUCAGAUUCACAUUUAUUUUUACUAGUUUUCCAGAUUUUUUUCAAAUUCUUGUUUCUUGAGUUGCUUUGAAUGCUUAUCUGUGGAAUACUUUAUUUUAGUGAUUGGAUUUGCUAUAUUUGAAUUGUUUUGGAUGAUCAUUGAUGCUGUGGGACGGGGAAAGGUCGGAGCCCAUUAGCAAAUAAUUUGUUUCCAUGCUUUAGGCAUUGGGUUCCGCCUAAUAAAAGUGAAAAGAUAAAAAUAAAACAUGAGUAUGAAUCUUUCUUUCUUUAUUUAGUUUUUUUUUAUUUUCUUUAUGUAUCGUAUUAUUCACUAGUAGCAUGCCUAGGCCAUUAUCAUUUGGGUAGGCAAAUCUUUAGGACGUUCAUGCUUUAAUUCCUUUUAGGAGAGAGGUUGUCCCUUUAGUCGAUUAUAUUAUUCGGGGAAUGCCCCGAAGUACUUUGUAAAUAUUUUGGAGGCCGUGACGAGUUUGUGAAGGAAGCAUAGUGUAGUAUUUUAUUUCUAUUUUUUAUUUUUAUUUUAUUUUCCUUUUUAUUUUUAUUUUCCUUUUAUUUGUCUUUUAUUUAGGUAGGGACAACCUCGAACCUUUUUGCGUUUGUUUUCUUUUUGUGUGUUUUUACCUCAAUUCGAAUAUUUUGGAAAACAACUUGAUUAUGUACGCAACCGUACUAGUUACGGGACUCGGGGAAUGCCUAACACCUUCUCCCCGAGUUAAAUGAACCCCCUUACGUAGAAUCUCUGGUGCAAACUUAAUUUUGGAAUCUAAAGUAUUUUAAAAGAGAAUUAUUUUUAAACGGUGACCUGAUACACUGAAAUCAAAUGUCAGGUCGCGACUCUGAAAUAUCUUUUAAAACACAAUUUUGUCACUUUCAAUUUUAAAAACCCUUUUGAGCUUUUUAAGUCUUUUAUUAUUUUAAAGGGAAUUAAGAAGUAAAAAAAAAGGGGUGUGACAAUCAUGACCAUAAUUUUUGGCGUUUAUAACAUUCCCACUACUCCUUAUUUUUACUCUUUGCUUUUACAACUUCCUCUUCUUCUCCAACUUAUCUUAGAACCCUACUUGCAAACUUCAACUUUCUCAAUAAAUUUCUCCUUCACAAAUUUCUUACCGUCAUGUCUGCUAACACUACUGCCUUUGAAAACUCUAGUCUUCUCUUUGAUAGAGGCCCAAAAAAGAACAAACCAAAUGAGACAGAUGUUGAGUCGGAACCUCCUAGCGUAAACAACAUCAUACCUCUUCAUCUUAGCACGAAAUCUGACCUUCAAGAACAAAAAAGAACCUGCAAAUCCCAAAAGUGACAGGCACUGGUCUGUUCGUAGGUAUCCUUCCUCCAUUCGUCCUCCUAGCAUCCCUAUCGUGAAUGAGGAAUAUAAUUAGAACAACAUCGAAAUCUUCACCUCUAAUGAGGUAGAAAGGGUCACCUUCUCCAAACCAGGGUUCAUGUAUGAUUAUACAUACCCUUUCACUUUGGGCCCUUUCAUUUUAAGAGUGGGUGAAGGAGUCGACCCAGUAAUCUUAGAAUUUUGCCACCGAUACCAACUCUGCUUGGCACAAUUAGGCCCAUACAUAUGGCAUAUGGUGGCUUGCCUCCACCAAUUAUACUCUGAGAUCAGGGAAACUCUAACUCUUGCACAUGUGAUGAACUUUUACUCCUUUAAGAUUUUUUGCGAGAGUAUGCUAAAAUUCAGCAAACGGGGUCAUCAUGCCCUUCUCACCAGCGUCGAUGAUGAUAACGAUCGUGGAUAGAUGAAACAUUUUAUUUUCAUUACUGCCAGGGACAUCCUCCCGACCACAACGUUUGCUGUUCUUGAAUCAUGGAACCUUUUUCGUAAGUCUUAGAGUAUUUCUUUUCUUUCCAUGUUUUCAAAAACACCUUCCAUUGUUACUAACUUUAUACAUUCCUUAUUCCAGCUACUCAUUGGAAAUUACCAUGGUUUAAGAUCUGGCCCAAUGGGUACAGAAAAUUCUAGAUAUCACUACACCAGAAUCCCGAAGGUAAAAAAAAUAUCUUGCAAAUAUGGAUAGAAAGCCAAAACUAUGAUAAACAAAAAUUCUUCCUUCUUUCAAUCUUACAAAAUAACAUAGAAAUAGUUUAGUAAUUGUUUUUUUGUACCACACAAGACUUUCAAAGGGAUCUGUUGUUUGUCCUGACAUCGAGGCUCUUAAGCACUCGAUGGAAGCUGAAUGGGUACUGUAGGGUGCCCUUAACUGGAGGAGAGCUCGCGAAUCUACUCGGACUUCUGGUGAAGGUACCACCUCCCAGAGUCCCCAUCUCAAAAACAAGAAACCAAAGAGGAAGUGUACCUCCUCGACUGGGACUCAAGAGAAAAGAGUGAAAGAAAUACCAACCGGACCGACCACAAUUGUCCUUGAUGAAGAAGAAAUCAAUGAUGAAGCGACUCCUCUUUAAAGAAGAAAAGAUAUUUAUCAGCUCAACUAGAUGCUCAAUCAGAAGAGCUUCAAACUCCACCACCGGAAGAAGUUCAAGAACUCUGGGGGCAAAUGGAAAUAGCCGAAAAUGCUUAAUCUCGCUUUCAAAGUCCCACAGUUAUUUCUGAUCAAAGGAGUUCAAUCCAUGACCUCCUUCAACUGCCAAAUUCUGAGCUGAUAACAACUACCUCUCCACCUACACCAACUUCUUCUUCUCCACCGGCCCAUCUGAAUAAAUAGAAAAUGCCCCUUCUCUAUGGUCAUCCGACAAUGAAAAUUUGGAAAAAUACUUACUCGGCACCCACUCAAUACCCUCAUAGAAAACGAAGCGCCAUCCUUUCGAUUUCGAAUGAGUGCCAUAUACUUUUCAAGUCGGUGGAGCUUGCCAAUUAUCUGAAGCUGCUGGCCUUAGAAAAAAGAUUAGAGAAAAAUGGACUCUCUUUCUACGGAGUGUUUGAUAAACAAUAGUAUGCACUGUUCGACGCAUGUAUCAAUCUAAGUUUCUUUUAUCUCCUUCCAACUUAUACUUUUCACUAAUAACCUUAGAUUUAACCCUUUUUAGGCUAACCUUUUUGCUUCCAAGGGCAUGCAAAGGUUGAUUCUGGACAAACAAGAGCAUACUUCGGAACGAGAUCAACUUCUAGCCGAACGAAAUCAGCUUGCUGAGCGCCUCCCAGUGUUGGAGGAAAAAAUUUCUCAAAUAGAUGAUCUCGAGGCUCGGUUGUAGCAAUUCGAAUGGCUCACAGCCAGGAAGCUUCCCAGCUACGUGAAAACCUUAAGGAAGCAAAGGCUAAAUGGGUUGAACUUCAUGAUACCGCGAUUGCUGCUGCCGAGCGUGAGUCUACCUUUAUGGAACAAGUUAAUAACUUGGAGGCUAGCUUAUGCUCCAAAAUCGAGGAGGCCAAUGCUACCGAGGAGAAAAGAGAAAGAAUGUAAGAAAGGCUCAGAAGGGUCAUGGAGAAAAAAUCAACUUCAUUUGAGCACCAAUAUCGAGCUUGACUCUAAAAUCAACAGUAUUGAUGGUAGGUUAGAAACACGUGUUUUAGCCGCGUUUUACACUCUAAUUAUUGCACUUUACAUGUCUUUGAGCUUAAAUGAUAGUGAAUUACACUUAUUACAUGUUCUAUGCCUUGUAGGAAGUGGUUUCGAGUUAAAAAAGAUAAUUAUGAGCUAAAUCGAACAAUUUGGAGCUUUGAAGUAUGAGUAAAAGCCCAAGGAAUUAAUCUGGGAUCGCGUUCGGGGGUCGAGGACUGAGUCUGGAUAUAAAAAAAAUGAAGAAAAUAAUUUACUCUGGAAAAGUUACAUAGCUGCACUGCGUAGGGCAGUGCAUAGGGCAGCGCAGCAGUGUGUUUUGCUGCUGUCCGUCAGAAAUCGCUCUCUGAACUUCUCCACUGGCACACCGCAUAGGGAAUCGCACCGUGCAUCGCGCCUGUGCAAUUUUUAUAGAGUAUUUUUUUGUAUCAUCUUGGAAAGGGUAGUUUCAUCCGGACUCGCUUCGGCAUCGUAUAAAUACACAAAAAUAUAUUUUUAAAGGGACGUUUGACCUACGAAAGAUUGGAAGAGCAUUGGAGACAUAAAGCAUAAGGAUUCAUCAUUCUUUCUUCAACUCAACACCCGAGUUUAGAUUGAAUUCAUAUUUUCUUAUUAUUCAACUUUAUUUGUGAUGACUUUAUUCAUGAUUAUGGAGUAGUUUACCUUAGAGUUUGAUGGAUAUGAUGUUUGAUUGAUAUUUGUGGAUUUUAACUCUAGUUCUUUGCUUGAGUUCGUUUAUGGAGCUUUGAAUUGAUUGCAACUUUAUUCAGUUUAUUUAAUCGAAAGAGGAAUAUUUUGGUGAUUAUCUUUGCAUUAUUUGAUUUGGUUUAAUUCAGUUAUUCUUUUAAGUAAUCAAAAGAGCUUGUUGAAUUGUUGAUUAAAUCAAGUUAGGAGAAUAUUCAAGAGACGUUUUUGUAAUGAUCCGGCUUCUCGUUUCAUGAGUUAUCGCUCUGUUUCUCCCAUUUCUGCUUCUUUAUAUCUUGUUCAGCUGUAUUAUGUGGUAUUGGGGGUGGUUGGUUCGGGUACAGAAUGGUUUGGUAGAGAAAUGAGACACUUAGUCUCUUUUGAGUAAGCUUAAGUUGGAAAAGUCAACUGAAUGUUGACUUAUGUGAAAAAGGUCUCGGAUGUGAAUUCCGAUAGUUCGAAUAGCUUUGUUAGAUGAUUUGGGACUUAGGAGCGUGAUCGGAAUGUAUUUUAGAGGUCCGUGGAAGAUUUAGUCUUGAAUUGGUGAAAUUGGAAUUUUGGCGUUUUCCAGUUGGUAGUGGAGAUUUUGAUAUAGGGGUCGGAAUGAAAUUCCGAAAAUUGGAGUAGGUCCGUUUUAUCAUUUGUGACGUGUGUGCAAAAUUUCAGGUCAUUCGGACGAGGUUUGAUAGACUUUUUGAUCGAAAGCGAAAAUUGAAAGUUUUGGAAUUCAUAGGCUUGAAUUUGAGGGUGAUUUGGUGUUCCGACAUUGUUUUGAGUGUUCCGAGGAUUGGAAAAAGUUUGAAUAGUGUUAUGUGACUUGUUGGUGUGUUUGGUUGAGGUCCCGAGGCCCUUGGGAUGGAUUUGGAUGGUUGACUGAGAGUUUGGAUUUUUGGAGUUGUGUUGUAGAUUUUCUGCUUCUGUUAUUUCCGCACCUGCGGAUUGGGGACCGCAGGUGCGAUGCCGCAGAUGCGUAGAGGAGGUUGCAGAAGCAGAUUUGGGUCAGUUGGAGCUUGGCCACAGGUGCGGUGCAUUGGGCACAUCUGCGGGGCCAUAGGUGCUGUUCCUGGACGUAGAUGCGGCCCUGGGGGAUUAAUGAAGAACCGCAGAUGCGGUUGUCUUGACCGCAAAUGUGGUCUGUAGAAGCGUGAUUUGGGCCGCAGGUGCAGAAUCCCUAGGCCAGAACCUAUAUAAGGUUUCCUUCGCGAUUUUCAGCUUUGUUUCACCAUAUUUAAGUCAGAUUGAGAGCUUUUUGGGAGAUUUUGAAGAGGGGAUUCAAGGGAACUUCGUAGAGGUAAGAUUCUUGGAACUAAAACUCAUUUCUAUGGUGUUAUUUUACUGAUUAGACAUGGAGUUUAUGGAAAUUAGUGGUUAAAAUUGGGGGUUUAGGAUUUGAAAUUGGAGACCUUGAUUUAGGGAUUUAAGGGGUCAUUUGUGGUCGGAUUUUGAUGUAUUAUGUAUGAACUCGUGAGAUUAGAAGGAUUCUAGUUUUGUGAUUUUUAUCGGAAUUCGAUACGUGGGCUCAGGGGUCGGGUUUGGCCAAUUUCGGAAUUUUUUAUGUAAAUUGGUUAUUUUCGAGUGGGCUUUGUUCCCUUAGCAUAUUUUGAUGGUAUAAAUCUGAUUUUGGUUAGAUUUGGAGCAUUCGGAGGCCGAGUCGAGAGGCAAAGGCAUCGCGGGCUAGAGUUUGGACCGGAUUGAGGUAAGUAAUGAUUAUAAAUGUUGUCCUGAGGGUAUGAAACCCCGGAUUUCACAUCAUUAUGCUACUUUGAGGUGGCGUACACGCUAGAUGACGAGCGUGGGGUCGUGCACCGUUGAGGAUUGUGACUUUGUCCGUCCCGUACGACUGUUAAGUUGCAUAUUUGAUUAAACCCUAUUUGAUAUCAUUGUUUUUUGGAAAUUAUUAUCAUAUUUUAGGCGGAAUGCCAUAUUUGGGCUGAAUGCCAACUGUUUUGGACCCUUAGGGGCUUUUUACUGCUUUUCCUGACUGUUUUUACUUAAUAUCUGUACUCAGUCAUGUUGUAUUCUACUAUUUUUAUAACUCAGUCAUAUUUACUUCAUUUUGAUAUUUUAAGUGAUAUUUUGGGCUGAGUAUCAUGUUUUACUAUUGCCCGAGUGGCUUGAGAGAUUUCUAAGUGAGUAAGCCCGAGGACCUGUAUUGUGAGGAUAUCAUGGGAUCGGGCUGCGCGCCGCAACUUGUGUACUUAUUAUGAUAUAUGAGAGGUCGAGGGCUUGAUUUGUUAUUCCACGAGAUAACUUGUGAUAGCGUUUGGGCUGUAGGAGCCCCUCUGGAGUCUGAAUACUCCUAGUGAGUACGGGUACCUAGUGUGAGAUGUGAUAUUGCCCGAGGGGUUGUUAUUGUUUCAUGUUAUUGCCCGAGGGGCUGAUUACGAGUGAUUGUGAGGUAGCCGGAGGGGCUAGUUCUAUUGAUAUUUUGCCCGAGGGGUGGUUGUGGUACAUGUUUUGCCUGAGGGGCUAUUUACGUUUCUACCAUUUUACUCACUAUUUUCAUCACUCGUUUGAAACUAAUUAAAGUGUUUUAAAAUGUUUUACUGAACUGAGUUGUUUUUACGAGUUUUAUUGCUUUACUGCAUUGUUCUAGACUUAUACUGUUUUACUGUAGCGUUAUGAUAUGGUUUACGUGUUUUCUUAUUGCUCAGCUGCCUUAAAUUUUAUUACUUACUAAGUUGGCGUACUCACAUUACUCCCUGCACCUUGUGUAUAGAUCCAAGAGUCUCGAGGGGUGAUAGUGAGUGCUGAUCAGUCUUCCAGCAUGUCUCCAGAGUCGACUAGGUAGCCGCUUGGCGUUCGCAACCCAGUGUUUCUCCUUCCUACCUUAUUCAACUUUGUAUUAGCAUUUUGUUUUCAGACUAUGUUGUCCUUUCUUAUUCCUAGAUGAGUUGUAGUUGCUCAUGACUGCUGACACCCCGAUGUCGGGCUAUGUUAUAUAUUUUUCGCACUGUUUCCUUUAACGUAUACUAUGAGAUUUUAGCUAAUUACUCGCUUUAAAUGACUUAAUAUGAAUUUCUGGUUGGUGUUGGGGUUUGUGUCGGCUGGCCUAGUUUCACGUUAGGCGCCAUUAUGACCGGGUUAGUUUUUAGGUCGUGGCAAGUUAGUAUUAGAGCCUAGGUUACAUAGGUCUCACGAGUCAUGAGCAAGUUUAGUAGAGUCUUGCGGAUCGGUAUGGAGACGUUUGUACUUAUCCUCAGGAGACUGCAGAACCUUUAGGAAAAACUUCUUGUUCUUGAAUUCCUAUCGUGCGAAUGUAUUGAUUCUGGUACUAAACUUCUGUUAUUCUAUUCUCUCACAGAUAAUGAGAACACGUGCUACCGGUCAGGAUGGACGACCACCAGUACCAUCAGUUGGGGCCACCAGAGGCCGAGGACGCGGUCAAGGCCGUGGUAAGGGCAGGGGUGUGGCCCGCACAACAGCUAGGGCAGCACCUACGGAUCUACCAGCUGCCCCAAUUCAUGAUCAGGUCCUAGUUGUGGAUGCUUUAGCAGUACCAGCUCAGGCACCGGCUGUGCCUAUUGUGAUCCCAGGCCUUCAGGAGCCCCUGACCCAGAUUCUAUCAGUGUGCACUGGCCUAGCUCAGGCGGUCUCAGUUACUACAGCCGCAGCUACUUCUCAUGCUGGGGGAGGACUCUCACCGCUCGCACACCUGAGCCAGUCGUGCAAGGACUUUAGACAACUACGACACCUCUAGCCCAGCCAGUUGCAGUUGCUCAGGACUAUGUAACUCCUGUUAUGCCAGAGGACGAGCAGCGCAGAUUGGAGUGGUUUGGUAGACUUCAGCCUCCGACCUUCAGUGGUGAAGAGGGCGAGGAUGCCCAGGGUUUCUUGUACAAGUUCAGAGGAUGCUUCGGACCGUAGGUAUUCUGGAGACCAGUGGGGUCUCAUUGACUACUUUCUAGUUCUCUGAGGCUGCACUUAGUUGGUGGGAGGUUUAUGAGAGGCGUAGGCCGGUUGGCGCAGCGCCCCUUUUUUGGCAGCAGUUCUCCAUUCUUUUUCUAGAAAAGUUUGUGCCCAAGUCUUGCCGAGAGAAGCUGCGCAGGCAGUUCGAGCAGCUUCAUCAGGGUGAUAGAUCUAUUAUGCAGUAUGAGAUGCGGUUCUCUAAGUUGGAUCGUCAUUCUGUCUGGUUGGUUCCCACAGAUCGAGAGAGGAUCAGGUGGUUUAUAGAUGGACUUGUUUUUCAGCUUCAGUUGCUUAUGACCAGAGAGAGUAUCUAGUGCUACCUUUGAUGCGGUUGUACAGAUUGAGAUGGUUCGUGGUCAGGAAAGGAUUGAGAGGGAGGCUAAGAGGCCUUGUGGUCAGGGUGGAUUCAGUGGUACUCCUCAUGGGGGUUAGUUUCAACACGGUAGAGGCCGUCCAUUCAGGCAUGCUUAGUCAGCUUGUCUAGAUUAUCGUAGGGCAUCAUCGGGCCAUAGUUCUCACAAUUCUCAUCAGGGCCAUUCAUCCCUUAGUGCCCUUCCAGCCCAGAGUUCAUCCCGUGCUCCAUCGGUUCAGGGCUCUUCUAUGCCAGGUUCUUCUGCUAGUCAUCUCGGUGCUAGGGGUUCCCUUCACUCCCCGUCUCCAGCAACAGGGGGUUGUUAUGAGUGUGGAGAGUUGGGGCACAUAUGGAGGCAGUGUCCUCAUCGUCUUGGGGGUUCAUCUCAGUAGAGGAGUUAGCCAUCGACUUCAACAUCAGUUACUUCACUAUCCACCCAGUCAACUAGGGGUGGAUUGACUGGGUGGAUGAUAGUCAGCUAGGGGUCUCCCCAGAGGGGGAGGUCAAUCAGGUGGUGGUCAGACCUGUUUCUAUGCAUUCUCAGCUAGACCCGAUGCUAUUACUUCAGAUGUUGUGAUUAUAGGUAUUGUCUCAGUCUUCCAUAGAGAUAUUUGAUCCCGGUUCUAAUUUUUCAUAUGUGUCGUCAUACUUUGCUCGUUAUUUGGAUACGCCCCAUGAGUCUCUUGUUUCAUCUCUUCGUAUAUCUACUCCGGUGGGCGAUACUAUUAUUGUGGACCGCAUAUAUUGGUCGUGUGUGGUGACUAUUGGGGGUUUGAAGACCCGGGUGGACCUUUUGUUACUUUAUAUGGUGGACUUUGAUGUGAUAUUAGGCAUGAAUUGGCUAUCUCCGUAUUGUGCUAUAUUGGACUAUCAUGCUAAGACAGUGAUGUUGGCUAUGCCGGGUGUGCCACAGAUUGAGUGGUGAGGUUCGACUGAUUUUGUUCCCAGUAGGGUGAUUUCAUUUCCGAAGGCCCAGCAGAUGGUCAGGAAAGGUUGUCUUUCAUACUUAGCUUUUGUGAGGGAUGUUAGUGCAGAGACUCCUAGUAUUGAUUAUGUUCCAGUAGUGAGGGAUUUUCCCAAUAUGUUUCCCGCAGACCUGCCGGGCAUGCCACCGGACAGGGAUAUUGAUUUUGGUAUUGAUCUGGUGCCGGGAACUCAGCCCAUUUCUAUUCCACCAUAUCGUAUGGCACCAACAAAGUUGAAGGAUUUGAAAGAGUUGGAGGAGCAGCUUCAGGAACUCUUUGAUAAAGGGGUUUAUUCGGCCUAGUGUGUCACCUUGGGGUGUGCCUGUUCUAUUUGUGAAGAAGAAGGAUGGCACGAUGAGGAUGUGCAUUGAUUACAGGUAGUUGAACAAAGUUACAUUCAAGAACAAGUACCCUUUGCCUCGUAUAUAUGAUUUAUUUGACCAUCAUCAGGGAGCGAGAGUGUUCUCCAAGAUUGAUCUCCGUUCAGGUUAUCGCUAGUUGAAGAUUGGGGACUCAGAUAUUCUUAAGACAGCUUUCAGGACCUGCUAUGGUCAUUAUGAGUUCCUUGUGAUGUCUUUUGGGCUGACCAAUGCCCCAUCAACGUUCAUACAUUUGAUGAACAACGUGUUUCAACCUUAUCUCGACUCGUUUGUGAUUAUUUUCAUUGAUGAUAUCCUGGUAUCCUCACGUAGUUAGGAGGAGCACGCGGAGCAUCGAAGAGUUGUGUUGCAGAGAUUGAGGGAAGAGAAGCUUUAUGCAAAGUUCUCCAAAUGUGAGUUUUGGCUUAGCUCAGUGGCUUUCUUGGGACAUGUGGUGUCUAGUGAGGGAUUUAGGUUGAUCUGAAGGAGAUAGAGGCGGGUUAGAGUUGGCCCAGACCAUCCUCAACCAUAGAGAUUCGUAACUUUCUUGUUUUGGCAGGUUAUUACCAUCGGUUCAUUCAGGGAUUUUUAUCUAUAGCAUCACCCUUGACCAAAUUGACUCAAAAGGGUGCUCCAUUUAGGUGGUCGGAUGAGUGUGAGGCAAGCUUUCAGAAACUCAAGACUGCCUUGACCACAGGUCCAGUGUUAGUUUUUCCAUCAUCUUCAGGUUCAUAUAUAGUGUAUUGUGAUGCUUCGAGAGUGGGUAUCGGGCGUGUGUUGAUGCAGGAGGGUAGGGUUAUUGCUUAUGCUUCUCGUUAGUUGAAGACCAAUGAGAAGAACUACCCAGUUCACGAUCUAGAGUUGGCUGCCAUUGUUCACGCAUUGAAGAUUUGGAUGCAUUAUCUUUAUGGUGUGUCUUGUGAGGUGUUUACUGAUCAUCGUAGCCUCCAGCACUUGUUCAAGCAGAAAGAUCUCAAUUUGAGGCAUCAGAGAUGGUUGGAGCUGCUAAAGGACUAUGAUAUUACUAUUUUAUACCAUCCGGGGAAGGCCAAUGUAGUGGUCGAUGACUUGAGUAGGAAGGCGGUGAGUAUGAGCAGUUUGUCAUAUAUUCCUGUUGGGGAGAGACCUCUUGCAGUUGAUGUUCAGGCCUUGGCCAAUCGGUUUGUGAGGUUGGAUAUUUCAGAGCCCAUUCAGGUCUUAGCUUGUGUGGUUUCUCGGUCUUCCUUGUUUGAUCGCAUCAGAGAGCACCACUAUGAUGAUCCUCAUUUGCUUGUCCUUNNNNNNNNNNNNNNNNNNNNNNGGAGUUGAUUCUGGAGGAGGCCCAUAGCUCGCGGUAAUCCAUCCAUCUGGGUGCCGUAAAGAUGUACCAGGAUCUGAGAUAGCAUUAUUGGUAGAGGAGAAUGAAGAAGGAUAUUGUCAGAUUUGUAGCUCGGUGUAUCAAUUGUCAACAUGUGAAAUAUAAUCAUCAAAGACCCGGUGGCUUGCUUCAGCAAAUGGAUAUUCCAGAGUGGAAGUGGGAGCGGAUCACCAUGGAUUUUGUAGUUGGACUCCCGCGGACUUUGAAGAAAUUCGAUGCUAUUUGGAUGAUUGUGGAUCGGCUGACCAAGUUCGCGCACUUUAUUCCUGUGUGUACUACCUAUUCUUCAAAGUGGUUGGCAGAGAUCUAUAUCCGAGAGAUUGUUUGUUUGCAUGGUGUCCUAGUUUCCAUCAUUUCAGAUAGAGGUACUCAGUUCACUUUGCCGUUUGGGAGAGCCGUGCAGAGAGAAUUGGGUUCUUAGGUUGAGUUGAGCACAACUUUUCACCCUCAAAUGGAUGGGUAGUUCGAGCACACUAUUCAGAUAUUGGAGGACAUGUUGCGCGCUUGUUUCAUUAAUUUCGGUGGUUCAUGGGAUCAGUUUCUACCACUUGCAGAGUUUGCUUAUAAUAACAGUUAUCAGUCGAGUAUUCAGAAGACUCCAUAUGAGGCUUUGUAUGGGAGGCGGUGUAGAUCUCUAGUUGGUUGGUUUGAGUCAGGUGAGGCUAGGCUUUUUGGUAGAGACUUGGUGCAGGAUGCUUUGGACAAGGUGAAGGUGAUUCAGGAGCGGCUUCGUACAGCGCAGUCGAGACAAAAGAGUUAUGCUGACAGGAAGGUUUGUGAUGUGUUCUACAUGGUUGGGGAGAAGGUUCUAUUGAAGGUUUCACCCAUGAAGGGUGUUAUGAGAUUUGGGAAGAAGGGUAAAUUGAGCCCUAGGUUCAUUGGACCUUUUAAGGUGCUUCAGGGGGAUUGGGGAGGUGGCUUAUGAGCUUGCUUUGGCACCCAGCUUAUCGAGUGUGCAUCCGGUAUUUCAUGUUUCUAUGCUCUGGAAGUAUAUUGGGGAUCUGUCUUAUGUUUUGGAUUUCAGCACGGUCCAGUUAGAUGAUGAUUUGACUUAUGAUGUGGAGCAAGUAGAUAUUUUGGAGCGGCAGGUCCAAAAGUUGAGGUCAAAGGAUAUAGCUUUAGUGAAAAUGCAGUGGAGAGGUCGGCCCAUGGAGAAGGCUACCUGGGAGACCGAACGGGAGAUGCAGAGAAGAUAUCCUCACCUAUUUGAGGUUUCAGGUAUGUUUCUUGACUCGUUCGAGGACAAAUGUUUGUUUAAGAGGGGGAGGAUGUAACGACCAGCCGGUCGUUUCAUGAGUUAUCACUCCGUUUCCCCCAUUUCUGCUUCUUUACGUCUUGUUUAGCUGUAUUAUGUGGUAUUGGGGUGGUUGUUUUGGGUUCAGAAUGGUUUGGUAGAGAAAUGAGACACUUAGUCUCUUUUGAGUAAGCUUAAGUUGGAAACGUCAACCGGAUGUUGACUUGUGUGAAAAAUGUAUCGGAUGUGAAUUCUGAUGGUUCGGAUAGCUUCGUUAGGUGAUUUGGAACUUAGGAGCAUAUCAGAAUGUAUUUUGGAGGUCAGUGGAAGAUUUAGGCUUCAGUUGGCAAAAUUGGAAAUUUGAUAUUUUCUGGUUGGUAGUGGAGAUUUUGAUAUAGGGGUCGGAAUGGAAUUCCAGAAAUUAGAGUAGGUCCGUUGUGUCAUUUGUGACGUGUGUUUAAAAUUUCAGGUCAUUCGGACGAGGUUUGAUAGACUUUUUGAUAGAAAGAGGAAUUUGGAUACUUUGGAAUUCAUAGGCUUGAAUCCGAGGGUGAUUUGGUGUUCCAGCGUUGUUUUGAGUGUUUCGCGGGUUCGAACAAGUUUGAAUAGUGUUAUGUGACUUGUUGGCGUGUUUGGUAGAGGUCCCGAGGGCCUUGGGAUGGAUUUGGAUGGUUGACGGAGAGUUUGGAUUUUUGGAGUUGUGCUGGAGAUUUUCCGCUUCUGUUAUUUCCGCACCUGCGGAUUGGGGACCGCAGGUGUGACACUGCAGAUGCGUAGAGGAGGCCGCAGAGGUGGAUUUGGGUCUGCUGGAGCUUGGCCGCAGGUACGGUGCAUUGGGCGCAUCUGCGGGGCCGCAACCUGGAAGUAGAUGCGGCCCUGGGGGAUUUAAUGAAGAACCGCAGAUGUGGUUGUCUUGACCGCAGGUGCGGUCUGCAGAAGCAUGAUUUUGGCUGCAGGUGCGAAAUCCCUAGGCCAGAACCUCUAUAAGGUUUCCUUCGCAAUUUUCAGCUUUGUUUCACCAUUUUUAAGUCGUAUUGAGAGCUUUUUAAGAGAUUUUGAAGAGGGAAUUCACGGGGACUUCGUGGAGGUAAGAUUCUUGGUACUAAAACUCGUUUCUAUGGUGAUAUUUUACUGAUUAGACAAGGAGUUUAUGGAAAUUAGUGGUUAAAAUUAGGUGUUUAGGGUUUGAAAUUGGAGACCUUGAUUUAGGGAUUUGAGGGGUCGUUUGUGGUCUGAUUUUGAUGUAUUUGGUAUGUAUGAACUCGUGAGAGUGUAAGGAUUUUAGUUUUGUGAUUUUUAUCAGAAUUUGAGAUAUGGGCCUGGGGGUCGGGUUUGGCCGAUUUCGGGAAUUUUAUGUAAAUUGGUUAUUUUCGAGUGGGCUUUGUUCCCGUAACAUAUUUUGAUGGUAUGAAUCUAUUUUUGGUUAGAUUUGGAGCAUUCAGAGGCCGAGUCGAGAGGCGAAGGCAUCGUGGNNNNNNNNNNNNNNNNNNNNNNNNNNNNNNNNNNNNNNNNNNNNNNNNNNNNNNNNNNNNNNNNNNNNNNNNNNNNNNNNNNNNNNNNNNNNNNNNNNNNNNNNNNNNNNNNNNNNNNNNNNNNNNNNNNNNNNNNNNNNNNNNNNNNNNNNNNNNNNNNNNNNNNNNNNNNNNNNNNNNNAUCGUUGUGCUACUUUGCGGCGACAUACACGCUAGAUGACGAGCGUGGGGUCGUGCACCAUUUGGGAUUGUGACUUGGUCCGUCUCGUACGACUGUUAAGUCGCGUAUUUGAUUAAAACCUGUUUGAUAUCAUUGUGUUUUGGAAAUUAUUACCAUAUUUUGGGCUGAAUGCCAUAUUUGGGCCUCGUGCCAACUAUUUUGGACUUUUAGGGGAUUUUUACUGCUAUUCCUCACUGAUUGGCUUAAUAUCUAUACUCAGUCAUAUUGUAUUCUACUGUUUUCAUAAGUCAGCCGUAUUUACUUUGUUUUGAUAUUUUUAAAUGAUAUUUUUGGCUGAGCAUCAUGUUUUACUGUUGCCCGAGUGGCUUGAGAGAUUUUUGACUGAGUGAGGCCGAGGGCCUGUAUUGUGAGGAUAUCAUGGGAUCGGGUUGCGCGCCGCAGCAUGUGUAUUGAUUGUGAUAUAUGAGAGGCCGAGGGCCUGAUUUAUUAUGCCACGAGAUGGCUUGUGAUAGAGCUUGGGUUGCAGGAGCCCCUCCGGAGUCUGAACACCCCCAGUGAGCGCGGGUACCCAGUGUGAGAUGUGAUAUUGCCUGAAGGGCUGUUGUUGUUUCAUGUUAUUGCCCGAGGGGCUGAUUACGAGUGAUUGUGAGGUAGCCCGAGGGGCUUGUUCUAUUGAUAUUUUGCCCGAGGGGCGGUUGUGGUACAUGUUUUGCCCAAGGGGCUAUUUACGUUUCUAUCCUUUUACUUAUUGUUUUCAUCACUCGUUUGAAACUAAUGAAAGAUUUUUUAAAAGGUUUUACUGAACUGAGUUGUUUUACGAGUUUUAUUGCUUUACUACAUUGUUCUGGACUUAUACUAUUUUACUGUAGCGUUAUGACGUGGUUUACAUGUUUUCUUACUGCUCAACUGCCUUUACUUUUAUUACUUACUGAGUUGGCGUACUCACAUUACUCCCUGCACCUUGUGUGCAGAUCCAGGAGUCUUGGGGCGCGAUAGUGAGUGCUGAUCAGUCUUCCAUCAGGUCUCCAGAGUCGACUAGGUAGCUGUUUGGCAUUCGCAGCCGUGUGCUUCUCCUUCCUACCUUAUUCAGCUUUGUAUUAGCAUUUUGUUUCAGACUAUGUUGUCCUUUCUUAUUCCUAGACGAGUUGUAGUUGCUCAUGAUUGGUGACACCCCGAUGUCGGGCUGUGUUAUAUAUUUUCCGCAUUGUUUCCUUUAACUUAUACUAUUGGAUUUUAGCUAAUUACUGGCUUUAAAUGACUUAUUAUGAAUUUCUGGUUGGUGUUGGGGUUUGUGUUGGCUGGCCUAGUUUCACGUUAGGCGCCAUCACGAUCGAGUCAGUUUUUGGGUCAUGACAGUUUUCCUGAAGACUAAUCCAUUAACGCAUGCUUGCAUAUUUUCACAGUGAUUUAUAUUAGUUCACCUCGUAGAGUUAAGAUUUAAUCGAGAGAGGAGUCUUGGCUACACGUUUGAACUAUUCAUCGAGUCAAUUCGUAAGAAUCAUUAGAACAUUAGAGUGAAUUGAACUAGAGUUAGAUCCCAAAUAGCUAUCUUGCACCUAUCAUGUCACUACAUUAGACCCCAAAUAGCUAUCUUGCACCUAUCAUGUCACUACCCUUAUUUCUCCCAUUGAUAUUUCUGUAUUGCUCAACUCUUGUCUUUUUGUGAUCAAUUGUUAAUUGUUUUAGUUUCAUAGUUAAUUUUAGUUAUUAAUCAUCCCAAUUAAAGUGUUAAUCCUCUCGAAUAGCGUUAAGCUAGAAAUUACUUGAAACUUAUUUAAAUUAAUCCAUGUGGAGACGAUAAUUAAACUGUAAUAUCUUUGGCUAGCAAAUAUCUUCUGACGCCGUUGCUAGAGAUUUUGCAAACAAUAGUGUUUAAACUUAGUUUUGGUGCUAAUUCAGGAACCAUUAUUAUUUUGUUCUUCACGAGUUUUCUCUUGUGUGCAGGGCAACAUGUUUAACUUCUAUGGUGUAUGACUCGGUCUUCUUCAAAAGAAGUGAU